RNAcentral lists this ribosomal RNA (253 nucleotides) under uncultured bacterium. RNAcentral describes it as "partial 16S ribosomal RNA". It matches the Rfam family "Bacterial small subunit ribosomal RNA", at positions 524 to 776 of the family's 1533-position model. The record is from RNAcentral.
UACGAAGGGUGCAAGCGUUACUCGGAAUUACUGGGCGUAAAGCGUGCGUAGGCGGUUUGUUAAGUCCGUUGUGAAAGCCCUGGGCUCAACCUGGGAAUUGCAGUGGAUACUGGCGAGCUAGAGUGCGGUAGAGGAUGGUGGAAUUCCCGGUGUAGCGGUGAAAUGCGUAGAGAUCGGGAGGAACACCCGUGGCGAAGGCGGCCAUCUGGACCAGCACUGACGCUGAGGCACGAAGGCUAGGGUAGCAAACAGG